AUAGGAGGGUGAGGUAGACGGGUAUAGGAGGGCUCCCCGGUGAGGUAGACGGGUAUAGGAGGGCUCCCCGGUGAGGUAGACGGGUAUAGGAGGGCUCCCCGGUGAGGUAGACGGGUAUAGGAGGGCUCCCCGGUGAGGUAGACGGGUAUAGGAGGGUGAGGUAGACGGGUAUAGGAGGGUGAGGUAGACGGGUAUAGGAGGGUGAGGUAGACGGGUAUAGGAGGGUGAGGUA
Non-coding RNA from Oncorhynchus mykiss (rainbow trout), 232 nucleotides. The record is from RefSeq and is a predicted model, not a curated record. Lineage: Eukaryota; Metazoa; Chordata; Actinopteri; Salmoniformes; Salmonidae.